UACGGGGGGGGCAAGCGUUGUUCGGAAUUACUGGGCGUAAAGGGCUGGUAGGCGGCCAACUAAGUCGGAUGUGAAAUCCCCAGGCUUAACCUGGGAACUGCAUCCGAUACUGGUCGGCUUGAAUCCGGGAGAGGGAUGCAGAAUUCCAGGUGUAGCGGUGAAAUGCGUAGAUAUCGGGAAGAACACCCGUGGCGAAGGCGGCUCUCUGGAACGCAACUGACGCUGAGACGCGAAAGCGUGGGGAGCAAACAGG
This 253-nucleotide ribosomal RNA is filed under the name uncultured bacterium. RNAcentral's name for it is "partial 16S ribosomal RNA". It matches the Rfam family "Bacterial small subunit ribosomal RNA", at positions 524 to 776 of the family's 1533-position model. The record is from RNAcentral.